ACAGGUGCUAAUNCNAAAUNACNAGUNAGAGNGNAUGCUCNANCNCUGANANGNGGCUUUNGAGCUGUCACUNAAGGAUGGGCCCNCGGUGCNUUAUCUAGUUGGUAAGGUAAUGCCUUACCNAGGNACUGAUNCAUANCCGAGUUGACANACUGAUCGACCNCANNGGGACUGAGACACGGNCCNAACUCCNACGNNANGANGGAGNNNGGAAUCUUCCNCAAUGGACGCAAGUCNGNNGGAGCNACGCCGCNUGAGUGAAGAAGGUUUUCGGAUCGNANANCUCUGUUGUUGGUGAAGAAGGACAUGGGUAGUAACUGAUCUAUGUUUGACGGUAAUCAACCAGAAAAGUCACGGACUAACUACGUGCCAUGCAGCCGCGGUAAUACGUAGGUGGCCAGCGUUGUCCGGAUUUAUUGGGCUGUAAAGCGAACGCAGGCGNNGGAGAACAAGUCAGCUGUGAAAGCCCUCGGCUUAACCGAGGAACGGCAACUGAAACUGUUUUUCUUGAGUGCAGAAGAGGAGAGUGGAACUCCAUGUGUAGCGGUGAAAUGCGUAGAUAUAUGGAAGAACGCCAGUGGCGAAGGCGGCUCUCUGGUCUGUAACUGACGCUGAGGUUCGAAAGCCUGGGUAGCUAACAGGAUUAGAUACCCUGGUAGUCCAUGCCGUAAACGAUGAGUGCUAAGUGUUGGGAGGUUUCCGCCUCUCAUUGCCUGCAGCUAACGCAUUAAAGCAAUUCCAGCCUGGGGAGUACGACCGCAAGGUUAAAAACUCAAAGGAUUUUACGGGGGUCCCGNCCCAAGCGGNUGGAAGCAUGUGGUCUUAUUUCUAAGCNAACGCGAAAGAAACCUUACCAGGUCUNUGACAUCUAGUGNCCAACCCNUAGAGAUAGGGUGUUUCCUUCGGGGGAANCACUAAGACAGGUGGUGACAAUGGCUGUCGUCGGUUCGUUGUCCGUGAGANUGUUNGGGAUUAAUUCCCGCAAACGAGCGCAACCCUUAUUACUUAGUUGCCAGCAUUUAGUUGGGNCACUCUAAUGAGACUGCCGGUGACAAACCGGAGGAAGGUGGGGACGACGUCAAGUCAUCAUGCCCCUUAUGACCUGGGCUACACACGUGCUACAAUGGUUAGUACAACGAGGAGCGAACCUGUGAAGGCAAGCGAAUCUCUUAAAGCUAAUCUCAGUUCGGAUUGCACUCUGCAACUCGAGUGCAUGAAGCUGGAAUCGCUAGUAAUCGCGGAUCAGCAUGCCGCGG
This 1256-nucleotide ribosomal RNA is filed under the name uncultured bacterium. RNAcentral describes it as "partial 16S ribosomal RNA". It matches the Rfam family "Bacterial small subunit ribosomal RNA", at positions 156 to 1362 of the family's 1533-position model. The record is from RNAcentral.